RNAcentral lists this ribosomal RNA (484 nucleotides) under uncultured bacterium. Its description in RNAcentral is "partial 16S ribosomal RNA". It matches the Rfam family "Bacterial small subunit ribosomal RNA", at positions 30 to 507 of the family's 1533-position model. The record is from RNAcentral.
AUUGAACGCUGGCGGCAUGCCUUACACAUGCAAGUCGAACGGCAGCGCGGGAGCAAUCCUGGCGGCGAGUGGCGAACGGGUGAGUAAUACAUCGGAACGUGCCCAAUCGUGGGGGAUAACGCAGCGAAAGCUGUGCUAAUACCGCAUACGAUCUACUGAUGAAAGCAGGGGAUCGCAAGACCUUGCGCGAAUGGAGCGGCCGAUGGCAGAUUAGGUAGUUGGUGAGGUAAAGGCUCACCAAGCCUUCGAUCUGUAGCUGGUCUGAGAGGACGACCAGCCACACUGGGACUGAGACACGGCCCAGACUCCUACGGGAGGCAGCAGUGGGGAAUUUUGGACAAUGGGCGAAAGCCUGAUCCAGCCAUGCCGCGUGCAGGAUGAAGGCCUUCGGGUUGUAAACUGCUUUUGUACGGAACGAAACGGUCUUUUCUAAUAAAGAAGGCUAAUGACGGUACCGUAAGAAUAAGCACCGGCUAACUACGUG